GAGUUUGAUCGUGGCUCAGAGUGAACGCUGGCGGUAGGCCUAACACAUGCAAGUCGAACGGUAACAGGUCUUUCGGGAUGCUGACGAGUGGCGGACGGGUGAGGAAUACAUCGGAAUCUGCUCAGUCGUGGGGGAUAACGCAUGGAAACGUGCGCUAAUACCGCAUACGACCUUCGGGUGAAAGCAGGGGAAUCUUUAGGGAUCCUUGCGCGAUUGAAUGAGCCGAUGUCGGAUUAGCUAGUUGGUAGGGUAAAAGCCUACCAAGGCGACGAUCCGUAGCUGGUCUGAGAGGAUGAUCAGCCACACUGGGACUGAGACACGGCCCAGACUCCUGCGGGAGGCAGCAGUGGGGAAUAUUGGACAAUGGGGGCAACCCUGAUCCAGCCAUACCGCGUGGGUGAAGAAGGCCUUCUGGGUUGUAAAGCCCUUUUGUUGGGGAAGAAAAACAACGGGUUAAUACCCCGUUGGUAUGAC
Molecule: ribosomal RNA, 474 nt
Filed under: uncultured Lysobacterales bacterium
Lineage: Bacteria; Pseudomonadati; Pseudomonadota; Gammaproteobacteria; Lysobacterales
Description: bacterial SSU rRNA
Rfam family: Bacterial small subunit ribosomal RNA
Source: RNAcentral